RNAcentral lists this non-coding RNA (65 nucleotides) under unclassified sequences. Its description in RNAcentral is "DUF3800-VIII RNA". It matches the Rfam family "DUF3800-VIII RNA". From Rfam's summary of the family: Bacteroidetes, Cyanobacteria, Firmicutes, Planctomycetes (1 example), Proteobacteria, Tenericutes (1 example). Nearby to DUF3800 The record is from Rfam by way of RNAcentral.
AUAGCCCUGUAUUUAUCGAAGGGUUACGUUUACGUGACUUAUUGAUGUAGGUAAAACGGGGCUUU